RNAcentral lists this ribosomal RNA (351 nucleotides) under uncultured bacterium. Its description in RNAcentral is "partial 16S ribosomal RNA". It matches the Rfam family "Bacterial small subunit ribosomal RNA", at positions 338 to 706 of the family's 1533-position model. The record is from RNAcentral.
CCUACGGGUGGCAGCAGUGGGGGAUAUUGCACAAUGGGGGGAACCCUGAUGCAGCGACGCCGCGUGGGUGAAGAAGCGCCUCGGCGCGUAAAGCCCUGUCAGCAGGGAAGAAAAUGACGGUACCUGAAGAAGAAGCCCCGGCUAACUACGUGCCAGCAGCCGCGGUAAUACGUAGGGGGCAAGCGUUAUCCGGAUUUACUGGGUGUAAAGGGGGCGCAGACGGCGAUGCAAGCCAGGAGUGAAAGCCCGGGGCCCAACCCCGGGACUGCUCGUGAAACUGCGUGGCUGGAGUGCAGGAGGGGCAGGCGGAAUUCGAGGUGUAGGGGGGAAGUGCGGAGAUAUAGGGAGGAA